RNAcentral lists this ribosomal RNA (133 nucleotides) under uncultured bacterium. Its description in RNAcentral is "partial 16S ribosomal RNA". The record is from RNAcentral.
CGUAGUUAGCCGUGGCUUCCUCCUCUGGUACCGUCAUUAUCGUCCCAGAAGACAGAACUUUACAACCCUAAGGCCUUCAUCAUUCACGCGGCGUUGCUGCGUCAGAGUUUCCUCCAUUGCGCAAUAUUCCCCA